RNAcentral lists this ribosomal RNA (406 nucleotides) under uncultured bacterium. RNAcentral's name for it is "partial 16S ribosomal RNA". It matches the Rfam family "Bacterial small subunit ribosomal RNA", at positions 360 to 773 of the family's 1533-position model. The record is from RNAcentral.
AAUAUUGCGCAAUGUAGGGAACUCUGACGCAGCGACGCCGCGUGAGCGAUGAAGGUUUUCGGAUCGUAAAGCUCAUUCCGUGGGGAGUAAGGGCUUCGGAGUUGAUGGUACCUAAGGAGGAAGUCUAGGCUAACUACGUGCCAGCAGCCACGGUAAUACGUAGGGGGCAAGCGUUGGCCUGAAUUAUUGGGCGUAAAGGGUGCGUAGGCGGCCUUUUAAGUCAGGUGUGAAAGCCCACGGCUUAACCGUGGGAUUGAAUUUGAAACUGGAAGGCUUGAGUAUCGGAGAGGGUAGUGGAAUUCCCAGUGUAGCGGUGGAAUGCGUAGAUAUUGGGAGGAACACCAGUGGCGAAGGCGACUACCUGGACGAAAACUGACGCUGAGGCACGAAAGCUAGGGGAGCAAAC